Molecule: long non-coding RNA, 2682 nt
Organism: Dreissena polymorpha
Lineage: Eukaryota; Metazoa; Mollusca; Bivalvia; Myida; Dreissenidae
Exons: 2
Source: RefSeq, a predicted model, not a curated record
CACGCCCACCCAAAAUUGCCUUUUACUAUAAUUUCUUCAUUUCUACACCGAUUCACUUCAAAUUGAUACUGAACAUCUCUUAUGUCAAUACGGUCAAUCUCAACUAUGUAUGGCCCCAUUACCAACCCUGGGGCACCCCGCCCACACAGCCCACGCCCAACCAAAAUUGCCUUUUACAAUUAUUUCCUUAUUUCUACACCGAUUUACUUCAAAUUGAUACUGAACCUCUCUUAUUACAAUACAGUCAAUCUCAACUAUGCAUGGCCCCAUUACCAACCCUGGGGCGCCCCGCCCACCCAAAAUUGCCUUUUACUAUAAUUUCUUCAUUUCUACACCGAUUCACUUCAAAUUGAUACUGAACCUCUCUUAUGACAAUACAGUCAAUCUCAGCUAUGCAUGGCCCCAUUACCAACCCUAGGGCACCCCGCCCACAUAGGCUACGCCCACCCAAAAUUGCCUUUUACCAUAAUAUCUUCAUUUCUACACCGAUUCACUUCAAAUUGAUACUGAACCUCUCUUAUGACAAUACGGUCAAUCUCAGCUAUGCAUGGCCCCAUUACCAACCCUGGGGCGCCCCGCCCACAUAGGCCAUGCCCACAUAGGCCACGCCCACCUAAAAUUGCCUUUUACUAUUAUUUCUUUAUUUCUACACCGAUUCACUUCAAAUUCAUACUGAACCUCUCUUAUGACAAAACAGUUUAUCUCCACUAUGCAUGGCCCCAUUACCAACCCUGGGGCACCCCGCCCACAUAGGCCACGCCCACCCAAAAUUGCCUUUUACUAUAAUUUCUUCAAUUCUACACCAAUUCACUUCAAAUUGAUACUUAACCUCUUUUGUGACACUACAGUCAAUCUCAACUAUGCAUGGCCCCAUAACCAACCCUGGGGCACCCUGCCCACAUAGGCCACGCCCACCCAAAAUUGCCUUUUACUAUAAUUUCUUCAUUUCUACACCGAUUUACUUCAAAUUGAUACUGAACAUCUCUUAUGUCAAUACGGUCAAUCUCAACUAUGUAUGGCCCCAUUACCAACCCUGGGGUGCUACGCCCAUAAUAGGCCACAACCACCCAAAAUUGUCUUUAUCCCCACGCUUUUUGAAAAGCGUGGGGAUAUUGUGGUUAUGUCCACCGUCCGUCCUGGCCACUAUCUUCUCCUACACUAUUAGCACUAGGACCUUGAAACUUACACACAUGGUAGCUAUGAGCAUAUGAGUGACCCUGCACUAUUUGGAAUUUCGAUCUGACCCCUGGGUCAAAAGUUAUGGGGGUUGGGGUGGAGCCAGGUCAGAGAUUUUUACUCAUUUUUUAAGGUUAUUUUACUAUUAUUUCUUAAUUUCUACACCAAUUGUCUUCAAAUUGAUACUGAACCUGUCUAAAGACAAUACGAUCAAUCUCAACUAUGCAUGGCCCUAUUACCAACCCUGGGACGCCCUGCCCACAUUGGCCACGCCCACUUAAGAUUGCCUUUUACUAUAAUUUCUUUAUUUCUACACCGAUUCACUUCUAAUUGAUACUGAACUUCUCUUAUGACAAUACGGUCAAUCUCAACUAUGCAUGGCCCCAUAACCAACCCUGGGGCGCCCCUGGAUCAAACAUGCGGCGUAGGGAUACGCGUCGGCCUCUGCCGCGCCAUUUCUAGUUGCAUUUAAAUUAUAUUUAAACGAAUCUAAAUGUAUUGAAUGUUUUAUUGAUUUUUCAAUAUUUGUCAUUUUAAUUAAUGCAGCAGUACUGUGGGAUAAAGUAAAAAAAUGUAUUAUUUUUAUAUUCCAUCCUAUGGUGAUCAGAGACUUAGAAAACAGUGUAGACAAAUCAGCGUGCAAUCCAGGAGGGGGAAGUUCUAAAUAUAUGGUAUACAGCACUGUUGCAGCCAACCGAAUUUCCUUCUCUGUGUGAAAUGUUUAAUGUAUGUAAAAUAUGUUAAUGCAAUCUUUAAUUCUGUCAUAUAAACAAAUAUAUAGUUCUUUUUAAUGUGGGGUUAGAUUUUCUUUCAAAAAUGAAUAUCCAUUUAUUACCUCCCCUGAAUUUUGCAAUUUUUAUUCUAUAUUUUAACAUUUACUCUUUUACAUAUAGGGUACAACGUGUAUAUUUUCUGAUUAGUAUUCACUAAAUAUUUAAGAAAAUGUAUAAUUUGCCAUUGAUUACGGUGACAUUAAAAAUAUGUGGUGGUUGCAAAUAUAGGAAAUACUAGUAACAUUUUUUUCACUUAUUAAAUGUCAUAACAAAUUUUUUAUUUUUGUUGACUCUAAAUAGAAUUUCUGUGUGCAAAAUUAGAUUUAAAAGUCUUGAUUCUAUCAUAAGCUGGCAACCUUUGUUUAAACACUGAUCCUCAAAGUUGGUCAUCGUAUUAUCUAAAUGAACUGUUAGUAGUAAUUAAAUAAUCUCAUGAAAGACUCAAUUAAAUACAUGUACAUUCAAGGCUUUGAUAAAGUCAUUUGUGUGAGCGUUUUUAAAACAUACAUACGUCAAAAUGCCUGUGUAUCUUUAAUUGUGUAAUGUCUGCAUGUAUGUUUACCAUUGUGUUUGUUGCAUUGAAAUGUAUGACAUAUGUUUGAUAAAAAAAGUCUGUUCAUUCUUACUGUAAGUGGUGUAAAUUCAACUGUAUAUGGAAAGACCGUGUGCACAAAAUGCUGCAGUGACUUGUAGUUGUGAUGUUUGAAUAAACCUUUGACAGAUUUGCUUGUAA